GAUCAUGGCUCAGGAUGAACGCUAGCUACAGGCUUAACACAUGCAAGUCGAGGGGCAGCAUGGAGUUGCUUGCAAACUCUGAUGGCGACCGGCGCACGGGUGAGUAACGCGUAUCCAACCUUCCCUAUAGUAGAGGAUAGCCCGGCGAAAGUCGGAUUAAUACUCUAUGUUUUCCGUUGCAGACAUCUAAGAUGGAACAAAGGCUUGCCGCUAUAGGAUGGGGGAUGCGUCUGAUUAGGUAGUCGGCGGGGUAACGGCCACCGAGCCAUCGAUCAGUAGGGGUUCUGAGAGGAAGGUCCCCCCACAUUGGAACUGAGACACGGUCCAAACUCCUACGGGAGGCAGCAGUGAGGAAUAUUGGUCAAUGGGCGAGAGCCUGAACCAGCCAAGUAGCGUGCAGGAUGACGGCCCUAUGGGUUGUAAACUGCUUUUAUGCGGGGAUAAAGUUCACUACGUGUAGUGUUUUGUAGGUACCGCAUGAAUAAGGACCGGCUAAUUCCGUGCCAGCCGCCGC
Molecule: ribosomal RNA, 514 nt
Filed under: uncultured bacterium
Lineage: Bacteria
Description: bacterial SSU rRNA
Rfam family: Bacterial small subunit ribosomal RNA
Source: RNAcentral